AAAUUUUACACUUAAGUGGGUGAAUUUUAUAGUAUGUAAAUUCUAUUUCAGUACGCUGUUUUUCUUUUUUAAAGGUACAAAGGAGUCAGAUUUCAGGAAGAUCAAGUCAAAUAUUUGUUUGGCAUUUAAAGGAAUUUCAGGUUUUUAAAAGAAAGUAUUAAAAUGCCUGGACAGGAAUCCCUUUUCAUAUGAAUUUCUCAACUUGGGGUCCAAGACUAUUCGGAUGGAAUACAUUUGAAUACCAAACCCCUGUGAAGGAAUGUCUAUGGUUACAGAUUCUUAGGGGGAGAGGUUUUUUUUUUUUUUCUUCUUUCCAGAAGCCAGACCAAGAAAGAUUUUUUUUUUUUUAAUCCAUCUUUUCAUUCAACCUUAACAUUUGGAGAGUCCUGACUUCGUGCAGAAUCUAAAUUUUGUCUCCCUGCCUUACAUGGGCCUAAGGCCUCCGCUCCUUGUGUUAAAAUCCAAACCCUUGGAUUGCUGAACUAGUACCAGGAUAAGUGUACUCUUAUUGUCCUAGUUUUCAGUCCCUCUUUACUUGCGUUCCUUGGGAGAUUCCCUUAUUGCCUUGCAGGUUUAGCUCUGAAUCUGAAAAUGUUUGUUAAAUUUGAUCCAGCAUAUCUAGGUGUUUUGAAGGCCAAAUAUUUUCACGUUAUCUAGUUUCUGAUAUGGUGAUAGAAAUUCCCAUGCUUGUAGCUCCCUCCAAUCUGAUGCUUCCUCUUCCAUUCUUUCCCGCAGGAAUCCUUGUUCCAAUGCAGAUAAAAUUCCCUGUCAUUCCCAAAUUCUUUAGAAUGUUCCUUUACCUCUUUGCCUUAACUAUAACUUGGCUGUUCCCCCAGAAACGCUGCCAUGCCUAGAGCCAGUUUGAACUCUCUCUCUGAGAGAGUCUUGCGAUAAUUAUCCUUUUUUAAAAUAUAGGCUACAUUAUUUUAUACCCUUUCUGUGCACUCUCCUUUGUUUACUUAGGGCCUUGACAUGUGGGACAUUUCAACAUUUCUGUGGAUGACCUAACUAACCCACACCCUAACCUCAAGUCCUCCUGCCUGUCUUAAACCCGAGCUGCUAUAAAUCCUACCCACUUUUGGCCACCCAGUCCCAUAGCUGCACCUUUGUCUUUUCAUCAUCAUCCUGAACUAGACCAUUUUAGGAAUCUUAAACCUUGAUGCAUUGUGUAUACUCCUCUCAACCUGCUUGCCCUCCCAACUCUCUCACAAGUUUACACCUUGACUUUGUUCAGCCCUCUAAUCUCUCCAUGUCUUUCUCCUGGUCCAUUCACUCUCUUGCACUGUUACUCUUCUUUCUGCAUAUACCCCAUGGUGCAACACUCACCCACAUUCUUGCCAGCUACUUCAGCUUCUUCGAUUCCUUAUCUUUCUAUAGCAUUUACCAUGCAAAGUCUCUACCUGGGAUUAAUCUGUGAGCCUUCUCCAUCUCUAUACUUAAAAUAAAAAUAAGAUAAAUUGGUGCCAAUGGUGCAUGGUCUUCGGCCUCACUGGGCCCUCUGCACUGCGUCAGCAACCCUUUUACAAAUACUGGACCAGUGACUCCUUAGAAGCCUUGAGCUGAAGUUGGCAGAGCACAUAUAAAAAGACCUUAAGGGUCUGCAUUGCUGCUUAAGAAAGCCAUUUACUGAACAUGUUGGGCUUUAUUUGAACAAGAAAAAAACUUCAUUUGUGUUUAAGCCAUCAAAUAUUUGGGGAUUCAUUUGUUAUAGCAGCUACCGUUACCUUAAUUAAUGCAAUAAGAUACCAUUUUGAAUUUUUUUAUUAAAGAUUUUAUGAUUUUA
Non-coding RNA from Leptonychotes weddellii (Weddell seal), 1783 nucleotides. NCBI's taxonomy places the organism in Eukaryota, Metazoa, Chordata, Mammalia, Carnivora, Phocidae. The record is from RefSeq and is a predicted model, not a curated record.